This 208-nucleotide ribosomal RNA is filed under the name uncultured bacterium. Its description in RNAcentral is "partial 16S ribosomal RNA". It matches the Rfam family "Bacterial small subunit ribosomal RNA", at positions 568 to 774 of the family's 1533-position model. The record is from RNAcentral.
CGUGUAGGUGGUUUAGUAAGUCUGGCGUGAAAUUUUUCGGCUUAACCGGGAAAGGUCGUCGGAUACUGCAAGACUAGAGGACGGUAGAGGCGUGUGGAAUUCCGGGUGUAGUGGUGAAAUGCGUAGAGAUCCGGAGGAACACCAGUGGCGAAGGCGACACGCUGGGCCGUACCUGACACUGAUGCGCGACAGCAUGGGGAAGCAAACA